Long non-coding RNA from Vidua macroura (Pin-tailed whydah), 261 nucleotides. RefSeq lists it as uncharacterized. NCBI's taxonomy places the organism in Eukaryota, Metazoa, Chordata, Aves, Passeriformes, Viduidae. The transcript has 3 exons. The record is from RefSeq and is a predicted model, not a curated record.
AGUUUUUCUGUAUGAAAUAAUACAAAGAUACCACAGCGUGUAGUCUGAUGCUGGACAAAGGUCAGGUUGUGAACCCGUAGCUGAACCCCAAAUAGCUGGGUUGAUGACAUACUUUGGAUAGAAGACUGAAGAUGCCUUGACAGGAUGAGUGGCCAACCUGAUUCUGCAGAGGGAUGCAGGGAAAAAGUGACCGGGAGCGAGGUGAAUUUCUUGGAGACUGUUUUGGUGAAGGCCAGGGAGAACUGCGAGGUGACGGUGAGA